CGGGUGAGUAACGCGUAAAGAACUUGCCUCAUAGUCUGGGACAACAUUUGGAAACGGAUGCUAAUACCGGAUAUUAUGCUUUCUUCGCAUGGAGGAAGUAUGAAAGCUAUAUGCGCUAUGAGAGAGCUUUGCGUCCCAUUAGCUAGUUGGUGAGGUAACGGCCCACCAAGGCGAUGAUGGGUAGCCGGCCUGAGAGGGUGAACGGCCACAAGGGGACUGAGACACGGCCCUUACUCCUACGGGAGGCAGCAGGC
Molecule: ribosomal RNA, 254 nt
Filed under: uncultured Fusobacterium sp.
Lineage: Bacteria; Fusobacteriati; Fusobacteriota; Fusobacteriia; Fusobacteriales; Fusobacteriaceae
Description: partial 16S ribosomal RNA
Rfam family: Bacterial small subunit ribosomal RNA
Source: RNAcentral